RNAcentral lists this ribosomal RNA (369 nucleotides) under uncultured organism. Its description in RNAcentral is "bacterial SSU rRNA". It matches the Rfam family "Bacterial small subunit ribosomal RNA", at positions 526 to 896 of the family's 1533-position model. The record is from RNAcentral.
CGAAGGUGGCAAGCGUUGUUCGGAUUCACUGGGCGUACAGGGAGCGUAGGCGGUUGGGUAAGCCCUCCGUGAAAUCUCCGGGCCUAACCCGGAAAGUGCAGAGGGGACUGCUCGGCUUGAGGACGGGAGAGGAGCGCGGAAUUCCCGGUGUAGCGGUGAAAUGCGUACGAGAUCGGGAGGAAGGCCGGUGGCGAAGGCGGCGCUCUGGAACGUUUCUGACGCUGAGGCUCGAAAGCGUGGGGAGCAAACAGGAUUAGAUACCCUGGUAGUCCACGCCUUAAACUAUGGAUACUAAGUGUCGGCGGGUUACCGCCGGUGCCGCAGCUAACGCAUUAAGUAUCCCGCCUGGGAAGUACGGCCGCAAGGUUG